RNAcentral lists this ribosomal RNA (498 nucleotides) under uncultured bacterium. RNAcentral describes it as "bacterial SSU rRNA". It matches the Rfam family "Bacterial small subunit ribosomal RNA", at positions 791 to 1316 of the family's 1533-position model. The record is from RNAcentral.
UAGUCCACGCCGUAAACGAUGAUAACUCGUUGCUGGCGAUACAUUGUCAGUGACCAAGCGAAAGUGUUAAGUUAUCCACCUGGGGAGUACGAUCGCAAGAUUGAAACUCAAAGGAAUUGACGGGGGCCCGCACAAGCGGAGGAACAUGUGGUUUAAUUCGAUGAUACGCGAGGAACCUUACCUGGACUUAAAUGUACGUUGCAUGGAUCAGAGAUGGUCCUUUCUUCGGACUACGUACAAGGUGCUGCAUGGUUGUCGUCAGCUCGUGCCGUGAGGUGUCGGGUUAAGUCCCAUAACGAGCGCAACCCCUAUCCUUAGCUGCCAGCGAGUCAUGUCGGGGACUCUGAGGAGACUGCCACCGUAAGGUGUGAGGAAGGUGGGGAUGACGUCAAAUCAGCACGGCCCUUAUGUCCAGGGCUACACACGUGCUACAAUGGCAGUGACAAUGGGAUAAUCCCCAAAAGCUGUCUCAGUUCGGAUUGUCGGCUGCAACUCGCC